Molecule: ribosomal RNA, 484 nt
Filed under: uncultured bacterium
Lineage: Bacteria
Description: partial 16S ribosomal RNA
Rfam family: Bacterial small subunit ribosomal RNA
Source: RNAcentral
AUUGAACGCUGGCGGCAGGCCUAACACAUGCAAGUCGAGCGGAUGAAGGGAGCUUGCUCCUGGAUUCAGCGGCGGACGGGUGAGUAAUGCCUAGGAAUCUGCCUGGUAGUGGGGGAUAACGUCCGGAAACGGGCGCUAAUACCGCAUACGUCCUGAGGGAGAAAGUGGGGGAUCUUCGGACCUCACGCUAUCAGAUGAGCCUAGGUCGGAUUAGCUAGUUGGUGGGGUAAAGGCCUACCAAGGCGACGAUCCGUAACUGGUCUGAGAGGAUGAUCAGUCACACUGGAACUGAGACACGGGCCAGACUCCUACGGGAGGCAGCAGUGGGGAAUAUUGGACGAUGGGCGAAAGCCUGAUCCAGCCAUGCCGCGUGUGUGAAGAAGGUCUUCGGAUUGUAAAGCACUUUAAGUUGGGAGGAAGGGCAGUAAGUUAAUACCUUGCUGUUUUGACGUUACCAACAGAAUAAGCACCGGCUAACUUCGUG